UGAGGAAUUUUGCGCAAUGGGGGAAACCCUGACGCAGCAACGCCGCGUGAGUGAUGAAGGCUUUCGGGUCGUAAAGCUCUGUCAAGUGGGAAGAACCACUUUGAGGAUAAUACCCUCGAGGUCUGACGGUACCACUGAAGGAAGCACCGGCUAACUCCGUGCCAGCAGCCGCGGUAAUACGGGGGGUGCAAGCGUUAUUCGGAUUUACUGGGCGUAAAGCGCGCGUAGGCGGCCGUUUAAGUCAGAUGUGAAAGCCCGGGGCUCAACCCCGGAAGUUCAUUUGAUACUAUUCGGCUUGAGUAUGGGAGAGGGAAGUGGAAUUCCUGGUGUAGAGGUGAAAUUCGUAGAUAUCAGGGGGAACACCGGUGGCGAAGGCGACUUCCUGGACCAAUACUGACGCUGAGGCGCGAAGGCGUGGGGAGCAAACA
Molecule: ribosomal RNA, 428 nt
Filed under: uncultured bacterium
Lineage: Bacteria
Description: bacterial SSU rRNA
Rfam family: Bacterial small subunit ribosomal RNA
Source: RNAcentral